Vitis vinifera (wine grape) is the source of this 2273-nucleotide RNA transcript. RefSeq lists it as uncharacterized. Lineage: Eukaryota; Viridiplantae; Streptophyta; Magnoliopsida; Vitales; Vitaceae. The record is from RefSeq and is a predicted model, not a curated record. The transcript has 4 exons.
AGCUGACAACUUAUAAAUAAAACAUUUUGAAGAAUUUAUGAGAGGAUAGAUUGUGACAAAAGUUCGCCGCCUUAGUCUUCCUCUUCCUUGCAUAAAAGGGCUCUAGGGUUCAUUUGUUGGAAGAGAGAAGAGAGACCGAAACACGAGAGGAGGCCGUUGCAGCCGCCAGGUCUUGUUGGAAUUUAUUUUGCAUUUGGAUUGUUCUUGAGAAUUGAAUACAGCUCGAUAUUGAAAUCCAAGUUUCUGAGACCAGGAAAAGCCAUGGCUGAAGAAGCAGGCAUGUUUAUGGUACAUCAAACCGUUGGCAGUGUUCUUUGUUGCAAAUGUGGUAUACCAAUGACACCGAAUGCUGCAAAUAUGUGUGUCAAGUGUUUGCGCUCUGAAAUUGAUAUUACAGAAGGUUUGCAGAAGCAUGUGACCAUCGUGCACUGCCCUGAGUGUGAUACCUACUUGCAGCCACCGAAAACUUGGAUUAAGGCACAAUUGGAGUCGAAAGAGCUCUUAACAUUUUGCGUGAAGAGACUAAAGAAUUUGAAUAAAGUUAGGUUAAUUCAUGCAGAAUUUAUUUGGACUGAGCCUCAUUCCAAGAGGAUCAAGGUCAAGCUAAGGGUUCAGAAGGAGGUUCUCAACGGAGCAAUACUUGAGCAGGCUUAUAUUGUUGAAUUUGUUCAGCAAGAGCACAUGUGUGAAUCUUGUUCUAGAGUCCAGGCCAAUCCAGACCAAUGGGUGGCUUCCGUGCAGCUUCGGCAACAUGUUCCUCACAGACGGACUUUCUUUUAUUUGGAGCAGCUUAUUCUUAGGCAUGAUGCUGCAGGCCGUGCUAUAAAAAUUAAGCAAAUGGAUCAGGGUAUUGAUUUCUUCUUUGCUAAUCGGAGUCAUGGUGUAAAAUUUGUGGAGUUUAUUGGUAAAGUGACUCCAAGUAGGAGCCGUCAUGACAAACAACUUGUGUCCCAUGAUACCAAGAGCAAUAACUACAAUUAUAAGUACACUUUCUCUGUUGAAAUCUGUCCAAUAUGCCGUGAGGAUCUGAUCUGCCUCCCUCCAAAAGUUGCUGUUAGUUUGGGAAAUCUUGGUCCUCUAGUGAUUUGCACAAAAGUGAGCAACAAUAUUGCUUUACUGGAUCCUUUUACUCUUAGGCACUGUUUCUUGGAUGCUGAUCAGUAUUGGAGAUCAUCUUUUAAGGCUCUACUGUCUAGUAGGCAGCUUGUGGAAUAUAUAGUAUUGGAUGUGGAGAUUGUUUCUUCUGAAGUUAAUGUUGGUGGCUCAAAGUAUGCAUUAGCUGAUGCUCAAGUGGCUCGUGUAUCAGAUUUUGGGAAGAAUGAUACAAUUUUCAACAUAAGAACACAUCUAGGUCAUCUUUUAAACCCUGGGGACCAUGCUCUGGGUUAUGACGUAUAUGCAGCUAAUAGUAAUGAUAUGGAACUUGAAAAAUACAGGGGUUUUGUCCUUCCAGAAGCAAUUUUGAUAAAGAAGAGUUAUGAGGAGAAGCGCCAAAGAAAGCGUGGAAAGCCUCGUUCAUGGAAGCUUAAAUCCCUUAACAUGGAAGUGGAUGAUUCCAAGGGUAGAGCUGACCAAGAGAAGAUGAAUACAGAGUAUGAAGUGUUCUUAAGAGAUUUGGAGGAGGACCCUGAGUUGAGGUUUAAUAUAUCAUUAUAUCGAAAUAAGGAAUAUCAACCAUCAGAGAUGGCUUCUAUGACCGAUGGAGAGGAUUUACCUUCUGUGCCUUUGGAGGAGUUGCUUGCUGAUCUAGAUUUGAGUGAAGAAGAAGAUGGAGAUGUUAGCAUGAGGGAAUGACCUGAAGUGGCAUUUUUUCCAGUUUUGCUGUAUCUGAAUUUGGGUUCUCAGAAUAUGUGGACUUGUGAGGGCAUGUGCACAAGACGGUGGCAUUGGCAUAUGGUACAAGCUACAUCAGAUUUAUUUCAGAGAUGGAGACAUGGAUCCUCAAUGUUUCGUGUGGAGAUCACUUUCUUGUUUGGAGUUCUGCCACCAGUUUGAUGAUUUAAAAUUUACAAUUAUGUAUUAGAAAAGAUUCUUCUUGAGGGGGUUUAUGUGUAAGAAUGAUAUUUGGUAGUGAAGUUUGUAGAUGAUGCUUUGGGACAAUAGGUUGGGCAUGCUGGAAAAAGACCAAUUUACUGAUGAAAGAGGAGAAUGCUUAGAAGAUGGUUAGCGGGCUGCUGUUUCCGUCUCCUUCUAAGAUUACUUGUCUUGCUAUGUUUUUGUAGUUUUAUUUGAGAUAUAAUUGAUGAUUUUACAUUGCUCUUUUCUUGGAUUUA